RNAcentral lists this transfer RNA (74 nucleotides) under Rhizocola hellebori. Its description in RNAcentral is "tRNA-Met". Lineage: Bacteria; Bacillati; Actinomycetota; Actinomycetes; Micromonosporales; Micromonosporaceae. The record is from RNAcentral.
CGCAGGCGAGCGUUGGCGCUCAGCUGCUCCUCAUAAGGGCGGCCUGCCCGGAUCGUCACCGGGGCCUGCGACCA